RNAcentral lists this ribosomal RNA (253 nucleotides) under uncultured bacterium. RNAcentral describes it as "partial 16S ribosomal RNA". It matches the Rfam family "Bacterial small subunit ribosomal RNA", at positions 524 to 776 of the family's 1533-position model. The record is from RNAcentral.
UACAGAGGGGGCAAGCGUUGUUCGGAAUUACUGGGCGUAAAGGGCGCGUAGGCGGCCUUCUAAGUCGAACGUGAAAUCCCUGGGCUCAACCCAGGAACUGCGUCCGUUACUGGAAGGCUUGAAUCCGGGAGAGGGAUGCGGAAUUCCAGGUGUAGCGGUGAAAUGCGUAGAUAUCUGGAGGAACACCGGUGGCGAAGGCGGCAUCCUGGACCGGUAUUGACGCUGAGGCGCGAAAGCCAGGGGAGCAAACGGG